This 254-nucleotide ribosomal RNA is filed under the name uncultured bacterium. RNAcentral describes it as "partial 16S ribosomal RNA". It matches the Rfam family "Bacterial small subunit ribosomal RNA", at positions 524 to 776 of the family's 1533-position model. The record is from RNAcentral.
UACAGAGGGUGCGAGCGUUGUCCGGAAUCACUGGGCGUAAAGGGCGCGUAGGUGGUUGGGUAAGCGUGUGGUGAAAGCCCGGGGCUCAACCCCGGGUCGGCCAUGCGAACUGCCCGACUGGAGCACGGUAGAGGCCAAUGGAAUUCCGGGUGUAGCGGUGGAAUGCGUAGAGAUCCGGAAGAACACCGGUGGCGAAGGCGGGUCUCUGGGCCUGUUCUGGACGCUGAGGCGCGAAAGCUAGGGGAGCGAACAGG